AGUGAACGCUGGCAGAAGGCUUAACACAUGCAAGUCGAACGGCAGCAGGGUAUUUGCCUGAGGUUAGGGGGGCGGACGGGUGAGUGACGCGUAAAGAAAUUGCAACCCAGCUAGGGACGGCAGUUGAAAAAGGAUGAUAAACCCUAAUAUUAUGAUAAUCGGGCAUCCGAAAGUUAUGAAAGCUAUAAGCGCUGUGGGAGAGCUUAGCGUCCCAUUAGCUAGUUGGAGAGGUACAGGCUCACCAAGGCGACGAACGGUAGCCGGUCUGAGAGGGUGAUCAGCCACACUGGAACUGAGACACGCUCCAGGGUCCUACGGGCGCCAGCCGUGCGCAAUCUUGGACCAUGGGCGCGAACCUGUUCCAACCGUACCGAGUGUGUGAUCCAGCCCUUCUGGUUGCAAAGCCAUUUUGUUGGGAAAGAAAAGCAGUUGGUUUAUGCCACACUGUACUGACGGUACCCAAAGAAGAAGCACCGGCUAACUUCGUG
Molecule: ribosomal RNA, 488 nt
Filed under: uncultured bacterium
Lineage: Bacteria
Description: partial 16S ribosomal RNA
Rfam family: Bacterial small subunit ribosomal RNA
Source: RNAcentral